CUCACCACUGUUGCCACCGCGGCAUUAAAAGCUACUUCAUCAUCCACCAAAGAAGAAAAGGCCUUGUGAGAACCGUCACCCUUCUUCGUCGAGGAUCCAAAACCAAACCCUUCUGAAGAACUUCUCCAUAGCUUCCAUUUCUUCUUGCUCUUAUCACCACCACCACCACCCCUCUCCUGUAAAAAAAUGAUAAAUAAGAAUCACAAAAGCAUAACUAAACACACACAAAGAAGAAGAUUGUGAUGAAGUUGCAAACUUGAUCGCUGGUGGAGGGCUUUCUGUGAGAUAUGAGUGAUUUAAACCAUUUUCCUGAGCCACCCAUUUGAGGAAAAACACUUGAGAGCAAAGGACAAAGAUCAGAUUUUUAUUGAUGGGGUUGUGAAAAAUGUGAAGAAUGCAAAAUGUUGUUGAGUUUUGGUUGGUUUAAUUAAGACUUAAGAGUGAAGAGGAGAUGAGAAGAAGGAAAGAGAAGUUUUUUUGAAAUUUGAAAUGUGUGCGAAAAAGUGUCC
This 509-nucleotide long non-coding RNA is filed under the name Arachis ipaensis. RNAcentral's name for it is "long non-coding RNA (AIPA_LNC002134)". The record is from RNAcentral. Lineage: Eukaryota; Viridiplantae; Streptophyta; Magnoliopsida; Fabales; Fabaceae.